This 133-nucleotide ribosomal RNA is filed under the name uncultured crenarchaeote. RNAcentral's name for it is "partial 16S ribosomal RNA". It matches the Rfam family "Archaeal small subunit ribosomal RNA", at positions 322 to 455 of the family's 1478-position model. The record is from RNAcentral. Lineage: Archaea; Thermoproteati; Thermoproteota.
CCUAUGGGGUGCACCAGGCGAGAAAACUUUGCAAUGUGCGAAAGCACGACAAGGUUAAUCCGAGUGAUUUGUGCUAAACGAAUCCUUUUGUUAGUCCUAGAACCACUAACGAANAAGGGGUGGGCAAGUACUG